CCCUUAGAUGUUCUGGGCUGCACGCGCGCUACACUGAUGCGUUCAACGAGUCCAACCUUGACCGAGAGGUCCGGGUAAUCUUUGAAACUGCAUCGUGAUGGGGCUAGAUUAUUGCAAUUAUUAAUCUUCAACGAGGAAUGCCUAGUAAGCGUGAUUCAUCAAAUCGCGUUGAUUACGUCCCUGCCCUUUGUACACACCGCCCGUCGCUCCUACCGAUUGAGUGUGUUGGUGAGGAGUUUGGAUUGGCCUCGGAAGGUGGUUCGCCACCGUCCGUAGCUGAGAAGUUCUCCAAACCGCCCCACUUAGAGGAAGGAGAAGUCGUAACA
This 326-nucleotide ribosomal RNA is filed under the name uncultured eukaryote. RNAcentral's name for it is "partial 18S ribosomal RNA". It matches the Rfam family "Eukaryotic small subunit ribosomal RNA", at positions 1470 to 1796 of the family's 1831-position model. The record is from RNAcentral.